UAAAAGGUUUUUUUUAAAACCAGUUUAAAGCAUUGUUAAAGUAUUGU
Loxodonta africana (African savanna elephant) is the source of this 47-nucleotide non-coding RNA. NCBI's taxonomy places the organism in Eukaryota, Metazoa, Chordata, Mammalia, Proboscidea, Elephantidae. The record is from Rfam.